AGAGUUUGAUCCUGGCUCAGGAUGAACGCUGGCGGCGUGCCUAAUACAUGCAAGUCGAGCGAACGGACGAGAAGCUUGCUUCUCUGAUGUUAGCGGCGGACGGGUGAGUAACACGUGGAUAACCUACCUAUAAGACUGGGAUAACUUCGGGAAACCGGAGCUAAUACCGGAUAAUAUUUUGAACCGCAUGGUUCAAAAGUGAAAGACGGUCUUGCUGUCACUUAUAGAUGGAUCCGCGCUGCAUUAGCUAGUUGGUAAGGUAACGGCUUACCAAGGCAACGAUGCAUAGCCGACCUGAGAGGGUGAUCGGCCACACUGGAACUGAGACACGGUCCAGACUCCUACGGGAGGCAGCAGUAGGGAAUCUUCCGCAAUGGGCGAAAGCCUGACGGAGCAACGCCGCGUGAGUGAUGAAGGUCUUCGGAUCGUAAAACUCUGUUAUUAGGGAAGAACAUAUGUGUAAGUAACUGUGCACAUCUUGACGGUACCUAAUCAGAAAGCCACGGCUAACUACGUGCCAGCAGCCGCGGUAAUACGUAGGUGGCAAGCGUUAUCCGGAAUUAUUGGGCGUAAAGCGCGCGUAGGCGGUUUUUUAAGUCUGAUGUGAAAGCCCACGGCUCAACCGUGGAGGGUCAUUGGAAACUGGAAAACUUGAGUGCAGAAGAGGAAAGUGGAAUUCCAUGUGUAGCGGUGAAAUGCGCAGAGAUAUGGAGGAACACCAGUGGCGAAGGCGACUUUCUGGUCUGUAACUGACGCUGAUGUGCGAAAGCGUGGGGAUCAAACAGGAUUAGAUACCCUGGUAGUCCACGCCGUAAACGAUGAGUGCUAAGUGUUAGGGGGUUUCCGCCCCUUAGUGCUGCAGCUAACGCAUUAAGCACUCCGCCUGGGGAGUACGACCGCAAGGUUGAAACUCAAAGGAAUUGACGGGGACCCGCACAAGCGGUGGAGCAUGUGGUUUAAUUCGAAGCAACGCGAAGAACCUUACCAAAUCUUGACAUCCUUUGACAACUCUAGAGAUAGAGCUUUCCCCUUCGGGGGACAAAGUGACAGGUGGUGCAUGGUUGUCGUCAGCUCGUGUCGUGAGAUGUUGGGUUAAGUCCCGCAACGAGCGCAACCCUUAAGCUUAGUUGCCAUCAUUAAGUUGGGCACUCUAAGUUGACUGCCGGUGACAAACCGGAGGAAGGUGGGGAUGACGUCAAAUCAUCAUGCCCCUUAUGAUUUGGGCUACACACGUGCUACAAUGGACAAUACAAAGGGCAGCGAAACCGCGAGGUCAAGCAAAUCCCAUAAAGUUGUUCUCAGUUCGGAUUGUAGUCUGCAACUCGACUACAUGAAGCUGGAAUCGCUAGUAAUCGUAGAUCAGCAUGCUACGGUGAAUACGUUCCCGGGUCUUGUACACACCGCCCGUCACACCACGAGAGUUUGUAACACCCGAAGCCGGUGGAGUAACCUUUUAGGAGCUAGCCGUCGAAGGUGGGACAAAUGAUUGGGGUGAAGUCGUAACAAGGUAGCCGUAUCGGAAGGUGCGGCUGGAUCACCUCCUUU
Molecule: ribosomal RNA, 1545 nt
Filed under: Staphylococcus aureus
Lineage: Bacteria; Bacillati; Bacillota; Bacilli; Caryophanales; Staphylococcaceae
Description: partial 16S ribosomal RNA
Rfam family: Bacterial small subunit ribosomal RNA
Source: RNAcentral